GGUUAGUGGCAGACGGGUGAGUAAUGCAUAGGAAUCUACCUAGUAGUAUGGGAUAGCCACUAGAAAUGGUGGGUAAUACUGUAUAACCCCUGCGGGGGAAAGAUUUAUCGCUAUUAGAUGAGCCUAUGUCAGAUUAGCUAGUUGGUGGGGUAAUGGCCUACCAACGCGGUGAUCUGUAGCUGGUCUGGGAGGAUGAUCAGCCACACUGGAACUGAGACACGGUCCAGACUCCUACGGGAGGCAGCAGUGGGGAAUAUUGGACAAUGGGCGCAAGCCUGAUCCAGCUAUGCCGCGUGAGUGAGGAAGGCCUUAGGGUUGUAAAACUCUUUCAGUAGCGAAGAUA
This 343-nucleotide ribosomal RNA is filed under the name Anaplasma marginale. RNAcentral's name for it is "bacterial SSU rRNA". It matches the Rfam family "Bacterial small subunit ribosomal RNA", at positions 90 to 450 of the family's 1533-position model. Lineage: Bacteria; Pseudomonadati; Pseudomonadota; Alphaproteobacteria; Rickettsiales; Anaplasmataceae. The record is from RNAcentral.